RNAcentral lists this transfer RNA (76 nucleotides) under Acidobacteriota bacterium. Its description in RNAcentral is "Acidobacteria bacterium (bioreactor metagenome) tRNA-Ala". It matches the Rfam family "tRNA". From Rfam's summary of the family: Transfer RNA (tRNA) molecules are approximately 80 nucleotides in length. RNAcentral also lists the same sequence under 1 other name. The record is from RNAcentral. Lineage: Bacteria; Pseudomonadati; Acidobacteriota.
GGGCGGCUAGCUCAGCUGGGAGAGCGCCGCGUUCGCAACGCGGAGGUCACGAGUUCGAGCCUCGUGCCGUCCACCA